Transfer RNA from Loxodonta africana (African savanna elephant), 69 nucleotides. It matches the Rfam family "tRNA". From Rfam's summary of the family: Transfer RNA (tRNA) molecules are approximately 80 nucleotides in length. Their secondary structure includes four short double-helical elements and three loops (D, anti-codon, and T loops). Lineage: Eukaryota; Metazoa; Chordata; Mammalia; Proboscidea; Elephantidae. The record is from Rfam.
GGCCUGGUGGCUCAGUAGUUAAGCACUUGGCUGCUAACCAAAAAGUUGGUGGUUCAAACCCCCCAGCUG